GGGNNCUGCGUUAUUUAGUUGUUGCAGUUAAAAGCUCGUAGUUGGAUCUCGGGGCCAGGGCUUGCGGUACGCCUUGCGGCGGUUACUGCUCGUCCUGACCUACCUGCCGGCGUGUCCCUUGGUGCUCUUGAUUGAGUGUUUUGGGCGGCCGGAAUCUUUACUUUGAAAAAAUUAGAGUGCUUAAAGCAGGCGUUUCGCCCGGAUAAUGGUGCAUGGAAUAAUAGAAUAGGACCCCGGUUCUAUUUUGUUGGUUUUCGGAACCUGAGGUAAUGAUUAAGAGGGACUGACGGGGGCAUUCGUAUUGCGGGGUUAGAGGUGAAAUUCUUGGAUCCUCGCAAGACGAACUACAGCGAAAGCAUUUGCCAAGCAUGUUUUCAUUAGUCAAGAACGAAAGUCAGAGGUUCGAAG
This 408-nucleotide ribosomal RNA is filed under the name Stewartia floridana. Its description in RNAcentral is "SSU rRNA". It matches the Rfam family "Eukaryotic small subunit ribosomal RNA", at positions 608 to 1003 of the family's 1831-position model. The record is from RNAcentral. Lineage: Eukaryota; Metazoa; Mollusca; Bivalvia; Lucinida; Lucinidae.